AGUGAACGCUGGCGGUAGGCCUAACACAUGCAAGUCGAACGGCAGCACAGCAAGAGCUUGCUCUUACGGGUGGCGAGUGGCGGACGGGUGAGGAAUACAUCGGAAUCUACUUUUUCGUGGGGGAUAACGUAGGGAAACUUACGCUAAUACCGCAUACGACCUACGGGUGAAAGCAGGGGAUCUUCGGACCUUGCGCGAUUGAAUGAGCCGAUGUCGGAUUAGCUAGUUGGCGGGGUAAAGGCCCACCAAGGCGACGAUCCGUAGCUGGUCUGAGAGGAUGAUCAGCCACACUGGAACUGAGACACGGUCCAGACUCCUACGGGAGGCAGCAGUGGGGAAUAUUGGACAAAGGGCGCAAGCCUGAUCCAGCCAUACCGCGUGGGUGAAGAAGGCCUUCGGGUUGUAAAGCCCUUUUGUUGGGAAAGAAAGGCAGCAGGUUAAUACCCCGCUGUUCUGACGGUACCCAAAGAAUAAGCACCGGCUAACUUCGUG
This 492-nucleotide ribosomal RNA is filed under the name uncultured bacterium. Its description in RNAcentral is "partial 16S ribosomal RNA". It matches the Rfam family "Bacterial small subunit ribosomal RNA", at positions 29 to 507 of the family's 1533-position model. The record is from RNAcentral.